Molecule: small RNA, 117 nt
Filed under: Marmota monax (woodchuck)
Lineage: Eukaryota; Metazoa; Chordata; Mammalia; Rodentia; Sciuridae
Source: RNAcentral
GCUGGGCUCAGUAGCUUGUGCCUGGAGUCCCAGCUACUAGGGAGGCUGAGGUAGGAGGAUCACUUGAAUCCAGGAGCUCAGGGCCAGCCUGGGCAGCACAGGGAGAUCCUGUCUCAA